CAGCUAGUUGGCGGGGUAACGGCCCACCAAGGCGACGACGGGUAGCUGGUCUGAGAGGAUGGCCAGCCACAUUGGGACUGAGAGACGGCCCAGACUCCUACGGGAGGCAGCAGUGGGGAAUCUUGCGCAAUGGGCGAAAGCCUGACGCAGCGACGCCGCGUGUGGGAGGAAGCUCUUCGGGGUGUAAACCACUGUUGCCCGGGACGAACAGCUCGUUUAGACGAGCCUGACGGUACCGGGUGAGGAAGCACCGGCUAACUCUGUGCCAGCAGCCGCGGUAAUACAGAGGGUGCGAGCGUUGUCCGGAAUCACUGGGCGUAAAGGGCGCGUAGGUGGUAACCUAAGCGUGCGGUGAAAGCCCGAGGCUCAACCUCGGGUCGGCCGUGCGAACUGGGUCACUCGAGCAGAAUAGAGGCAGGUGGAAUUCCGGGUGUAGCGGUGGAAUGCGUAGAGAUCCGGAAGAACACCGGUGGCGAAGGCGGCCUGCUGGGUUCUGGCUGACACUGAGGCGCGACAGCGUGGGGAGCAAACAGGAUUAGAUACCCUGGUAGUCCACGCCGUAAACGAUGGGCACUAGGUGCUUGGGGGAGCGACCCCCUGGGUGCCGGCGCUAACGCAUGAAGUGCCCCGCCUGGGGAGUACGGCCGCAAGGC
RNAcentral lists this ribosomal RNA (653 nucleotides) under uncultured Gemmatimonadota bacterium. RNAcentral's name for it is "SSU rRNA". It matches the Rfam family "Bacterial small subunit ribosomal RNA", at positions 242 to 894 of the family's 1533-position model. The record is from RNAcentral. Lineage: Bacteria; Pseudomonadati; Gemmatimonadota.